Molecule: long non-coding RNA, 1861 nt
Organism: Vitis vinifera (wine grape)
Lineage: Eukaryota; Viridiplantae; Streptophyta; Magnoliopsida; Vitales; Vitaceae
Exons: 5
Source: RefSeq, a predicted model, not a curated record
AGUUCAUGAAACAAAUCUAUCAUGUUGUGGAAUGACAGGUAUUUACGUACAUUAAAGUCUUAUGUCCGUAAUAAGAGUCGUCCAGAAGGUUCUAUUGCAGAGGGCUACAUAGCAGAAGAAUGUACAACCUUUUGUUCAAGAUAUUUGCAUGAUGUUGAAACGAAGCAUGACCGUGAAGAAAGAAAUUAUGUCAUUGAAAAUAACAUAACAAAUGGUGGAGGGUUAACCAUUUUCAAAUGUAUGGGACGUACAAUAGGAAAGUCAACAUCUCGUGUUCUUAGCACAGAAGAAUGGUCCCAAGCACAUUUAUAUGUGUUGACUAAUUGUGAGGAAGUGACGUCAUUUAUUGAAGAGCAUAAGCAAUCUAUAAGGGUUAAGCCUCGUAUUCGUGCACGAGAUGUAGAUUUGAUUCACACAAGAGAAUUCAUUAGUUGGUUUGAAGAACGUGUAAGUUCAUUCACUACAUAAAUUGUUCUAUUAUCUAAUACACAUGUAUGUAUUAACAUCUUAUAUUUGAAUCUAUAGAUUAUACAAAUGCGACAUGAAGGUCCAAUUUCUGAACACAUACUAUCAUUGUCUUGUGGACCAAGUACAUCAGUUAUAUGUUAUAGAGGAUACAUCAUUAAUGGGUUCAGAUUUCACACAAGAGAACGAGAAAAAGGAAAAAAAAACUCAAAAUAGUGGAGUUGUUGUGACCGUAGAGGUAUCAAGCUUUGCAAGUGCAAGAGAUAAGAACCCAAUUCCUGGUCAUGUUUCUUACUAUGGUGUGCUAACUAAUGUAAUUGAGUUACAUUACCUUGGUGGAAAUAGAGUUAUUUUAUUCAAGUGUGACUGGUGGGAUGUAAUCAAUAGUGGAAGGGGAAUAAAGAAGGAUGAAUAUGGGUUCACGUGUUUGAAUUUUGAACGUACCAUAUGCACAGAUGAACCAUUUGUGCUUGCAUCUCAAGCAAAACAAGUCUUCUAUGUUCAAAAUUCAAAUGAGGAAAAUUGGCACACCGUUGUAGAGAUACAAACUCGAGGGGUUUAUGAUAUGAAUCAGAAAGUAUCUACUAAUGAUCCAGAGCCAUAUCAACAGCUUAUAACACUUCAUAGUCAACGUGAUGUGCAUGAGUUGGUCGAGAAUGAUUUAAUCAAUUGGGAUAGAAAUGAUAUUGCAGGAGAAACUAUCCAAACAGAUGUUCUACUAUCACGACAAGAAAACAUUAUUGAAAGAGAUAAUGAAUUCAUUCAUGAUGAUGAUAUAGAUGAUGUGUAGCUAAUAAUAUUGGAAAUGUCACAUCGAAGAGGAAGAGUACAAAUAGUGUCUCCAGAAGAUGAGUUGAACAAUCUACAACAACUCUUAGACAUACAACCUGCUGCAACUACUACUCCUAGUAGUUCUGAUCCUUCUGAUUCUUCAGAUCCUUCUGUUGCUGGUUCAUCUUCUAGCAAAAAGAGGACACGUGGCCCAACACGUAACUUAGAUUUACUUAGUAUGAAACCCGGGGAAAAAAAAACUACACGAUUCAAUAUGAGAGGGCAAGUUGUUUAUGAUGGAAAAGGGGAAAGAUUAUCAAGCUAUAUGGGAACAUUGGUGCGAUCUCAACACAAUGUACCCAUCCAAGUUCAAGAUUGGAAUCAUGUUAGUGAAGAUGUGAAGGAAAAGAUUUGGGCCUUAGUAUUGGAAAAAUAUGAACUAGAAGAAACAUGCAAGAGCUACAUUCUUCAAUGUUGUGGAAAUUUGUUUAGAAGCUAUAAAAAUAAAAUGAAGGCCAAGUAUUAUAACCCUUAUAAUACAGAUGAGGAGAGAUUGUGCCAUCGACCUCCACACUUAUCGGAUGAUGAUUGGAGGUGGCUCAUCCAUUUUUGAAGUACACCUAAG